Molecule: ribosomal RNA, 253 nt
Filed under: uncultured bacterium
Lineage: Bacteria
Description: partial 16S ribosomal RNA
Rfam family: Bacterial small subunit ribosomal RNA
Source: RNAcentral
UACGUAGGGGGCAAGCGUUGUCCGGAAUCAUUGGGCGUAAAGCGCGUGUAGGCGGUUCGGUAAGUCCGCUGUGAAAGUCGGGGGCUCAACCCUCGGAUGCCGGUGGAUACUGUCGAGCUUGAGUACGGAAGAGGCGAGUGGAAUUCCUGGUGUAGCGGUGAAAUGCGCAGAUAUCAGGAAGAACACCAAUGGCGAAAGCAGCUCUCUGGGACGGUACUGACGCUGAGACGCGAAAGCGUGGGGAGCGAACAGG